Long non-coding RNA from Triticum aestivum (bread wheat), 845 nucleotides. RefSeq lists it as uncharacterized. The transcript is spliced from 3 exons. NCBI's taxonomy places the organism in Eukaryota, Viridiplantae, Streptophyta, Magnoliopsida, Poales, Poaceae. The record is from RefSeq and is a predicted model, not a curated record.
AAAAAAACUCCAUCAAGAGUCAUCACCCUACCAAUCCUUCAUCAUGAGGCACCGAAAAUUGAGGAGCCGCUGAAAUCUGUGGUCAUUGCAAUCUCAACUUCCGUCUGCAAGUAGUACAUGUCCUGAUCUAAAUCAACCAGCACAGCGUGUGCUAGCUAGCCGCGUAUGUGUGUCAGCUUUCCUAUAUCCAUCAAGUACGUGCAUGCCUGUUAUGCCCAGCGAGAAUCAAGUAGGUGCAUGGCUGUUGUGUCCAGCGAGAAGCUUUCUCAUAUCCACAAGUACGUGCAUGGUUGUUGUGUCCAGCGAGAAGCAUCAGCGACAAGCGGUGGGCUAUUUUGCCAACAACAUGAAUAUUCAGAUCAGUAGAAAAAGGAUGCUCACCGACAUCAUAUUUACACAUUACUCGAUGAAAGCCCAAUUAAUGAAGUGGAUAAUCAAACAGAUAGCCCACGAUGGUGUGGUCAUAUACUCUUGGACAGCUUGGAAUAAUAUGAUUUGUCGCCGGGGCUAAUCUAACGGAGGAUUGCGGAUGUUUUUACGUGCAUAUAUACAAAGACAUCACGCACAUUGUGAUAUUGGUAUGUAUAACUGAUAUAUGUAUUUAUGUUGACCUCAAAUAGAGUAGACCGCCUAUUAAAUCCCGGACUUGCCAAAAAUUAAGCCAUAUGUAAGAAUCAUGCAUGUAUUAAAAGAUCUAAUAUACAUAUGCAUGUGUGUAGCCUUACAAUGUGAUAUUUCAAACAAUCUUCAUCAAUAAUUGUAUAAAUAAAAAUAUAUAGCGAAAGAAAAAUAACCCGUCAUAUGUUCUGAGUUAUCACCAUCAAAUUUUGACUGAUUUGUUAGAA